RNAcentral lists this ribosomal RNA (407 nucleotides) under uncultured bacterium. RNAcentral's name for it is "bacterial SSU rRNA". It matches the Rfam family "Bacterial small subunit ribosomal RNA", at positions 355 to 776 of the family's 1533-position model. The record is from RNAcentral.
UGAGGAAUUUUCUGCAAUGGGCGAAAGCCUGACAGAGCAAUACCGCGUGAGGGAUUGAAGGCUUUCGAGUUGUAAACCUCUUUUUUCAAGGAAGAAGAUCUGACGUUACUUGAAGAAUAAGCAUCGGCUAACUCUGUGCCAGCAGCCGCGGUAAUACAGGGGAUGCAAGUGUUAUCCGGAAUUAUUGGGCGUAAAGCGUCUGCAGGUUAUUUUUUAAGUCUUUUGUUAAAUAUUUAAGCUUAACUUAAGGAAAGCUAAGGAAACUGAAAAAUUAGAGUUAGGUAGAGGUAAAGGGAAUUUCCAGUGGAAUGGUGAAAUAUAUAGAUAUUGGAAAGAACACCAACGGCGAAGGCACUUUACUGGGCCAUAACUGACACUCAGAGACGAAAGCUAGGGGAGCGAACGGG